AGUAGCCUGGGGCCAGGCUGGGCAUUACAUGCUGUUUUAUCACUGGGCCUGGUUGUGCAGGGGUGGGCCCAAGGGUUGAUGGGGGCUCCUCCUCCCGUCCCUGGUGCAGCCCAGUUGGAAGGGCAUGGCAGGGAGCAGGCGCAGCAGCACCAGGGCGACGGUACCUGAGCUCAGUGCUAGGGGACCAAUUAGCCAGUCAUGGGGUGCAUCCCAGGACCCUGCUGCCAACCUUCGGAGGCUCCCUGAGUCCCAGAUCUUCUCCCCAUGCCAGGCCGAGGCACCAAGAACCCAGCCCGUUCAGGGGCACUAGCAUCAGCCAGUGUAGCUUGGCCAACAGGCUGUGUGGCAGGGGAGGCCCGGAGAGCAGAAGGGACAGAUCAAAGGGCCCACUGCAUGAGAGGCCCAGCUGGGAGCAGACCCCAGGGAAUCCACAUUUCCUGACUCAUUUGAGUAAGCUCUUUCCUGCCCAUCCAAACAGACACACAAACCAUAUUCACAUAUGUACACAAACAGACUCACAUACAGCAGGCACGCAGAUAUGCACCCAUAGAUCUACCCAGAGAUGGAGAGCAGACACACAGACACCCAGACACGCACAGUAGACGUGCCCUCAUGGGUGCAGGCUCAUGGCUGUACUUACACAUAUGCAGGUGGGCCCAGAAUUCAUCCCUGUUCCCCUAACCAAAAAUACCUUCCGUUAGCUGAAAGUUUAAACUGUGUAUCUUGCUGAACAAAAUCAACCCCCAGGACGCCCUAUCCCUUGUUGACUACAAACUGAACACCCUGCAGUACCAUGAGUCCCCACACCUUUCAUGGGGGCUGCGGGAGGGGGCACCCAGCUGGAUGCGUCACCUUCCUCUGCAUUCAGCCAGAGGCUUGGUCUCUCUCUCAGGACAAUGAGAAUGUGAGAACACAGCACCUGUUCUCGGGGUCUCCCAGGCAUUCCUGGGAGGGCAACUUCCUCUCCCCAUCAGGCCCCCUCUCUAAUCUUCACAAGAGCUUCAGUUUUCCCAUGGGCCCCCCGUCCCUCCCACCCUCUGACGCAGGCAGGCAGCAUGACAAGUGACAAAUGAAAACUCACUUUCUCGGCCAGGCGUGGUGGCUUACACCUGUCAUCCCAGCACUUUGAGAGGCCGAGGUGGGAGGAUCGCUUGAACCCAGGAGUUCAAAAGCAGCCUGGGCAACAUAUCAAGACCCCAUCUCUUAUAAAGAAAAUAAAAAGUCAUUUUCUCAGCUGGGUAUAGUGACUCACAACUGCAAUCCCAGAACUUUGGGAGGCCAGGAUGGGAGGAUCACUUGAGCCCAGGAGUUUCUGACCAGCCUGGGAAAUAUAGUCAGACCCCAUCUCUAUAAAGUAAACAAGUAAAUUUUUUAAAAGUCAUUUUCUAAUGAACAGGUGUGGACCAGGGCUGGGGCAAGCUGGGAGUGGGGAGGGUAAAGUUCCUAGAAGUCUUUGGGACUCUGGGGUGUCAUGGUUCACAGCUGAAACCCUGUUUUUGGCAGUUAGUCAGGGCUGCCAAAAGCCGCGGCUGACCUCCUCCCUCCCUGCCCCAGUGCCAGGUUCACUCUCCACGUUAGCCUUUGUGAACUUUAGCCACCUGCCCAGGGCCAGGCUUUCUCUUGGAAUCAGACUUUCACAAAGGAUUCUCAGGAAAAGACAGGCACCAUCCUCUCAGCUCCAGCUUGGCAGACCCACUACACUCCUUCCUAUGGUUCCUCGGUCCACUCCCAAUUUUUUUUGUGGGGAGACGGAGUCUCACUCUGUUGCCCAAGCUGGAAUGCCGUGGCACAGUCUCAGCUCACUGCAACCUCCACCUCCCGAAUUCAAGCAAUUCUCUUGCCUCAGCCUCCUUCCCGAGUAGCAGGGACUACAGGUGCACAUUAUCACACCCGGCUGAUUUUUGUGUUUUUAGUAGAGACAGGGUUUCACCAUGUUGGCCAGGCUGGUCUCGAACUCCUGACUUCAGGUAAUCCACCCACCUCAGCCUCCCAAAGUGCUGGGAUUAUUGGCGUGAGCCACUGUGCCCAGCCCACUCCCCAGUUUUUAACCCACUCUGCCUCAAAGCUGAUCGGCUAUCAGUAGUAUCAACUCCCAUCCCCAAACCCAGUGGGAAUUUAAAACCAUAGGAAAUAUUCUUGUGCCAACCCAGAGGGUGAAAUAUCUUCCUGCUUUGUGCCCUCUUAAGGCCAAGAGCAAAUUUAUUAAGUAAUAACAAAUCACUUAAAAAUGAUAAUUUUACCAGCCUGGGCAACAUGGCAGGAACCCAUCUCUACAAAAAAAUAAAUAAAUAAAAUAAACUAGCUAGGCAUGGUGUCACAUGCCUGUAGUUCCAGCUACUUGGGAGGUUGAGGCAGGAGGAUCGCGUGAGUCCAGAUGUUCAAGGUUGCAGUGAGCUAUGACUGCGCCACUGCACUACAGCCUGGGUAACAGAGUGAGACCCUGUUUCUAAAAGAAAUGAAUAAAUAAAUAAAAUAAUAAUAAUUUAAAAAUAUGAACUAACGUUACUUACAUAAUAAGAAUUCAUUUUAAAAUGAUGGCUUGGUUACUCUGGGCUCACUGCUUAUAGGGUAGCCCUGCUCCACAAGGAGCAGUAAAAAUAUAUAAUAAUAGUAAUAAUAUCAAUAAUGGCUAUCACUAGAAUGUAAGCAACAAUAUAAACUCUACAAGGGUAGGUAUUUUGUCCAUUUUGUUCACCGAUGGAUCCCAAUAACCUAGAGUAGUGCUUGGCAUAUUGCAGGUUCUCGGUAAGUAUUUGUUGACUAAAGUAAUUACUGUUAGACACUGUCUAAGUGCCUUUCAAGGAUCGGUUUAAUUAAUUGUUACAACAUUGUGAGGUGAGUAAUAUUGCACCCAUUUUGCAGACUGAGGCAGACGUAAACUAAGAAAUCCACCCAAAGUCACAUACCUAGUAAAGGGAGACUUUGUGUCCAAGCAGCCUGGCCCUAGGGCCCAGGCUCUUGAUCACCAAGUCUAUUGCCUUCCUUAACAGCAGUAUCCUUAAUAGCAAUUAUAUUUCAUUGAACUGUUUUUGUUCUGUUUCUCAUACAAUAAUUUACUGAUAUCUGUGUCUCCUACCAGACUAUGAUGUCCGUGAGGUCAGAGGAAAGGGAGAACGUCUCACAUACAGAAAAUGCUUGAUCAACAUUGAUGGAAUGAUAAAUGGGCCUCAGCGGCACCUGUCCUGAGUCAGCACCUCACAGAGGUUUUGCCAGCACCAGCCACAUCUCCAGCAUGAAGGUGAUUGUCUGAGUGUAUCCAGUCCAAUUCCUGCCUUAAUAAGGAUCACUGCCGCAAGGGAGAGGGCUGUCAAGGCCUUGCCUCCCUCCAACCCCAUCCUAGCCUGAGUCUUAACCAUUCUUCCAAUCCAGUUCCACUUAGGGCCAGUGCUUAACCCAGGGUAGCACUUUUGAGCCUCACAACUCUUGGGAGUGAGUUUUCAUCCUAACGUUCUCAGAUGAGGAAAUUGGGCCUCAAACAGUACACACAGGUGAGGCACUGUGGCUCAUGCCUGUAAUCCUAACACUUUGGGAGGCCAACGCAGGAGGAUUGCUUGCGCCCAGGAGUUCAAGACCAGCCUGGGCAACAUGGUGACACCCUGUCUCUACAAAAAAAUACAACAAUUAGGCAAACGUGGUGGCAUGCACCUGUCAUCCCAGCUACCUGGGAGGCUGAGGUGGGAGGAUUGCUUGAGCCCAGAAGGCUGAGGCUGCAGUGAGCCAUGAUCCUGCCAGUACACUCCAGCCUGGGUGACAGAACAAGACCCUGUCUCAAAAACAAAACAAAACAAAAACAAA
Molecule: long non-coding RNA, 3795 nt
Organism: Symphalangus syndactylus (siamang)
Lineage: Eukaryota; Metazoa; Chordata; Mammalia; Primates; Hylobatidae
Source: RefSeq, a predicted model, not a curated record